GCCCCCACAUGCUCCAAAUUCUCGUUCGUUUGUGCUCCGUUUGUGCACAACUAACUGAAUGGAAAAGACAUUGAAUGAGAGAGAAUUAUAGACGGUGCACCAGCCGUCUAUAAUUUUUUUUAACAGUAGGCUAGUUGAAGUAACAAGGUAAGACCUUAAGACAAUAUGACAAUAUUCACUUAUAGGUUACUGUUAUCCUGUGCGUUUUCAACUUUUAACGAACACUGAUGCGGAUCACAGGAUGUGUGGAUGCAACAUAAACUUCAAGGUCGUCAUGCAUCUCCCAGACACAAGGAGACCUCCUGCAAUAGGCCACAUAAUGUCCAAGAGCAUCCUGGGUUAAGCCUCCUCUAAAAGCAAUGACUGCCCGUAAAGUAAAUCUCUUUCCCAGGAGCAUCAGAUUGGAGCCACAAUAGUAAUUCACUCAAAGGAAAUUCUGUGGAGUUGCUUCCCAGAGGGACACUGUGACAGACUUUGGAUCGGCCUGAGGCAGGGGGACUCUGGAAGGUAAAGGCCUUCUUCCACCGCGGUCUGAAGAUGAGCCAUGCCAGAAGCCUGCAGUACAGCAACAGAAAUACAAACAAAUGCAAUUUCCCUUGUGACUUGUUUGCUGAGACCACAAUUCUGUGAAGAGCACUGUUUUGUUAAUGAAACACAAGUGCGUUUUGUCAUUGACUUUUCAAUGAUAGUGGAGAUGUGGCAUUGUGCAUCAAUUUGGAGAGCACCAGACUUCAGUCGGACAGCUUUGAAUAUUUCGCUCAUCAGUUCUGCCCUCUGUAUGUAGGCCUGUGCAUUCAGACCCUUUGUGGUGAUGGAUUUCACUAGCUGGAGGAGGUUGUUGGAAUCCUCAUUGCAAACAAUAUUUUCAAAAGUUACACUAUCACAGUCCACUUUGAGUCUUUUCCCUCUCACAGAUGGAUCUGCAUGGAGCCAUUCAGGACAAGGAGAGAGAAAAAACAUGCAUGUUGGCUUCAAUGAAGGACAGAUGUCGAGCAAUGAAUCGAUCCACUCGAAUAGGCAAGUGUUCAUGCUUGAAAAGGCCGCGUUUGAUGUUUUUAAACUCGGCUUCGACAUUGGCUGAACUUGCAGUGAUUUUGGAGCUCCGGAAGUGAGGGAUCAUUACCCCUGUCCAGAGAGGUCUGUCUGUGUUUGGUCACAUGGAUCCACUUCUUCCUGGUCCGCACCCUCUACAUCUGGAAUGAUGACACACUCUUCUGCAAUUCUGGCUUUUAGCAGUCCCACCGGCAGAUCAUCUUGAUGCAGUGAGCAACAUCAACCCGCACGAAACAAGCAUUUGCACCACUGGGACACUUGAGCUCUCACCCCCUGCCACAACACCCUGAUAAAGGAAUAUAUGGCCAGACUUGCCAUUUGGUCUCUGUAGUUUCCUCACCACUGAGCCAGUUGCAUCAAAACUCACAGUGGGGGUGGCCAAAUUAGGCAGAUGACUUGGCUCAGGAUCUCCAAAAUCCAUCAGCUUUAUUGCCUCUGAUGCCCUCCAUACAUGGGGUUCCUUUCUACCUUCACACAGUUCUUUGGAUAUCUGCACACGCAAGUUACCAGACAUCGGACGUUUGGAACAGCCAGUAUGCAGGGAGUCAUCAGUGUUUUUAAGCGAACACCUGCACAUCAUUGUGCAGUUUAUUUCAGGCUUUUUGUCACAUUUAUGUGAACUUGGCCACGACACUCCUUACAGUUGCCUAUGAUUAGAAUAUAUUUGUCUGUGACCGAUGGAUAGACCUUGGCUCUGUUAAAAGUAAAUGUGCAGGGGCAUUUCACUUCUUGCCAAAUGUGAUGAUUUAUCACAUGCGUCCAGAUACCAGGCUUCAAAAUUGUGUAUUCCUUUUUUUUGUUUUAGAGAACUUGUUUUUGUAUGUCACUGUUUCAGGCAUAAAUUCAAUCCAUUUCUGAAAUGGAACUUCAACAUCAAAA
This is a long non-coding RNA of Esox lucius (northern pike), 1932 nucleotides long. RefSeq lists it as uncharacterized. Lineage: Eukaryota; Metazoa; Chordata; Actinopteri; Esociformes; Esocidae. The record is from RefSeq and is a predicted model, not a curated record. The transcript has 9 exons.